Molecule: transfer RNA, 72 nt
Filed under: Phrynosoma platyrhinos (Desert horned lizard)
Lineage: Eukaryota; Metazoa; Chordata; Lepidosauria; Squamata; Phrynosomatidae
Description: tRNA-OTHER
Source: RNAcentral
GCCAGUGUGGUGUAGUGGUUUGAGCACUGGACUAAGAUUCUGGAGACCAGGGUUUGAAUCCCAGCUUGGUCA